RNAcentral lists this ribosomal RNA (876 nucleotides) under uncultured bacterium. Its description in RNAcentral is "bacterial SSU rRNA". It matches the Rfam family "Bacterial small subunit ribosomal RNA", at positions 64 to 950 of the family's 1533-position model. The record is from RNAcentral.
ACGCUGUUUCCCCUGUUUGCUGGGGUGGAUGAGUGGCGAACGGGUGACUAAAACGUGACUAACCUUCCCUUGACUCUGGGAUAAGCCCGGGAAACUGGGUCUAAUACCGGAUCCCACCUCCUGCCGCAUGGUAUGGGGGUGGAAAGAUUUAUCGGUUUUGGAUGGACUCACGGCCUAUCAGCUUGUUGGUGAGGUAAUGGCUCACCAAGGCGACGACGGGUAGCCGGCCUGAUAGGGUGACCGGCCACACUGGGACUGACACACGGCCCAGACUCCUACGGGAGGCAGCAGUGGGGAAUAUUGCACAAUGGGCGCUUGCCUGAUGCACCGACGCCGCGUGAGGGAUUACGGCCUUUUGGUUGUAUACUUCUUUUAGUAGGGAAGAAUCUAAUGUGACGGUUCCCGUAGAAGAAUCGCCGGCUAACUUCGUGCCAUCAGCCGCGGUAAUACGUACGGCGCUAUUGUUAUCCGGAAUUAUUGGGCGUAUAGAGCUCGUAGGCGGUUUGCCGCGUCUGCCGUGAAAAUUCGGGGCUUAACCCCGGUUCUGCGGUGGGUACGGGCAGACUAAAGUGAAGUACGGGAGACUGGAAUUCCUGGUGUAGCGGUGAAAUGCCGAGAUAUCAGGAGGAACACCGAUGGAGAAGGCAGGUCUCUGGGCUGUUACUGACGCUGACGAGCGAAAGUAUGGGAAGUGAACAGGAUUAAAUACCCUGGAAGUCCAUGCCGUAAACUUUGGGCACUAGGUGUGGGGGACAUUCCACGUUUUCUGCUCCACAGCUCACGUAUUAAGUGUCCAGCCUGGGGAGUACGGUCGCAGGGUUAAGAUUCACAGGAAUUGACGGGGGCCCGCACAAUCGCUGGAGCUUGCGCAUUAAU